Molecule: ribosomal RNA, 405 nt
Filed under: uncultured bacterium
Lineage: Bacteria
Description: bacterial SSU rRNA
Rfam family: Bacterial small subunit ribosomal RNA
Source: RNAcentral
UGAGGAAUUUUGGGCAAUGGGCGAAAGCCUGACCCAGCAAUGCCGCGUGAACGAUGAAGUCCUUCGGGAUGUAAAGUUCGUAAGCAGGAGAAGAACACAAUGACGGUAUCCUGUGUAAGCCCCGGCUAACUACGUGCCAGCAGCCGCGGUAAUACGUAGGGGGCAAGCGUUGUUCGGAUUUACUGGGCGUAAAGGGCGCGUAGGCGGCGCGUAAAGUCGGACGUGAAAUCGCUGGGCUUAACCCAGCGGCUGUGUCCGAUACUUGCGUGCUUGGAGUGCGGGAGAGGCAAUCGGAAUUCUCGGUGUAGCGGUGAAAUGCGUAGAUAUCGAGAGGAACUCCAGUGACGAAGGUGGGUUGCUGGACCGACACUGACGCUGAGGCGCGAAAGCUAGGGGAGCAAACGG